CUGAUUUCUUUCAGCGUAUCUCCAGCCAAAAAAAUCAGGUCAGAGACUUUACUGCUUAAAUAGACUGCGCUUGAUUCCUCUGGAUUCAAAUCUGGAAUGCUGGACUUCAAAAUUCCCCAAAUUUGUGUGAAAUGGAAGAUGUGCAGUAUCUGCCUAGAAUGAACACUCAGAGUGAAAACCAGGCUUUGCUGAUGGUGCAGAAGGAUCUCAGCUGGGUGCACACAAGGAAUGUUUGAAUUGCAGCCACCUGAGGGGAAUCUGCAGAUGCCAGGUAAGGACCCACUCUCUGUGUCAGUGUAAGGAGAAGAGGGAUGCAAAGGAUGGGGUUCA
Molecule: long non-coding RNA, 330 nt
Filed under: Parus major (Great Tit)
Lineage: Eukaryota; Metazoa; Chordata; Aves; Passeriformes; Paridae
Description: lncRNA (ENSPMJG00000007707.1)
Source: RNAcentral